RNAcentral lists this ribosomal RNA (519 nucleotides) under Escherichia coli. RNAcentral describes it as "bacterial SSU rRNA". It matches the Rfam family "Bacterial small subunit ribosomal RNA", at positions 8 to 525 of the family's 1533-position model. The record is from RNAcentral. Lineage: Bacteria; Pseudomonadati; Pseudomonadota; Gammaproteobacteria; Enterobacterales; Enterobacteriaceae.
AGAGUUUGAUCCUGGCUCAGAUUGAACGCUGGCGGCAGGCCUAACACAUGCAAGGCGAGCGGUAGCACAGAGAGCUUGCUCUCGGGUGACGAGCGGCGGACGGGUGAGUAAUGUCUGGGAAACUGCCUGAUGGAGGGGGAUAACUACUGGAAACGGUAGCUAAUACCGCAUAACGUCGCAAGACCAAAGUGGGGGACCUUCGGGCCUCAUGCCAUCAGAUGUGCCCAGAUGGGAUUAGCUAGUAGGUGGGGUAACGGCUCACCUAGGCGACGAUCCCUAGCUGGUCUGAGAGGAUGACCAGCCACACUGGAACUGAGACACGGUCCAGACUCCUACGGGAGGCAGCAGUGGGGAAUAUUGCACAUGGGCGCAAGCCUGAUGCAGCCAUGCCGCGUGUAUGAUGAAGGCCUUCGGUUGUAAAGUACUUCAGCGGGGUAGAAGGCGAUAAGUUAAUAACCUUGUCGAUUGACGUUACCCGCAGAUGAAGCACCGGCUAACUCCGUGCCAGCACCGGUAUAA